UCGUUGUCGAGUGGUAAAGACUCUUAACUUUCACCUUGGAAUCCCGGGUUCGAUCUCCGGUGGAGGAG
This is a non-coding RNA of Rhamnusium bicolor, 68 nucleotides long. The record is from the annotation of a GenBank genome assembly. NCBI's taxonomy places the organism in Eukaryota, Metazoa, Arthropoda, Insecta, Coleoptera, Cerambycidae.